Molecule: non-coding RNA, 23 nt
Filed under: Arabidopsis thaliana (thale cress)
Lineage: Eukaryota; Viridiplantae; Streptophyta; Magnoliopsida; Brassicales; Brassicaceae
Source: RNAcentral
UGGAAGCUACAUGUUGAUGGAUU